RNAcentral lists this ribosomal RNA (2242 nucleotides) under human gut metagenome. RNAcentral's name for it is "bacterial LSU rRNA". It matches the Rfam family "Bacterial large subunit ribosomal RNA", at positions 706 to 2925 of the family's 2925-position model. The record is from RNAcentral.
GGUAUAGACCCGAAACCCGGUGAUCUAGCCAUGGGCAGGUUGAAGGUUGGGUAACACUAACUGGAGGACCGAACCGACUAAUGUUGAAAAAUUAGCGGAUGACUUGUGGCUGGGGGUGAAAGGCCAAUCAAACCGGGAGAUAGCUGGUUCUCCCCGAAAGCUAUUUAGGUAGCGCCUCGUGAAUUCAUCUCCGGGGGUAGAGCACUGUUUCGGCAAGGGGGUCAUCCCGACUUACCAACCCGAUGCAAACUGCGAAUACCGGAGAAUGUUAUCACGGGAGACACACGGCGGGUGCUAACGUCCGUCGUGAAGAGGGAAACAACCCAGACCGCCAGCUAAGGUCCCAAAGUCAUGGUUAAGUGGGAAACGAUGUGGGAAGGCCCAGACAGCCAGGAUGUUGGCUUAGAAGCAGCCAUCAUUUAAAGAAAGCGUAAUAGCUCACUGGUCGAGUCGGCCUGCGCGGAAGAUGUAACGGGGCUAAACCAUGCACCGAAGCUGCGGCAGCGACGCUUAUGCGUUGUUGGGUAGGGGAGCGUUCUGUAAGCCUGCGAAGGUGUGCUGUGAGGCAUGCUGGAGGUAUCAGAAGUGCGAAUGCUGACAUAAGUAACGAUAAAGCGGGUGAAAAGCCCGCUCGCCGGAAGACCAAGGGUUCCUGUCCAACGUUAAUCGGGGCAGGGUGAGUCGACCCCUAAGGCGAGGCCGAAAGGCGUAGUCGAUGGGAAACAGGUUAAUAUUCCUGUACUUGGUGUUACUGCGAAGGGGGGACGGAGAAGGCUAUGUUGGCCGGGCGACGGUUGUCCCGGUUUAAGCGUGUAGGCUGGUUUUCCAGGCAAAUCCGGAAAAUCAAGGCUGAGGCGUGAUGACGAGGCACUACGGUGCUGAAGCAACAAAUGCCCUGCUUCCAGGAAAAGCCUCUAAGCAUCAGGUAACAUCAAAUCGUACCCCAAACCGACACAGGUGGUCAGGUAGAGAAUACCAAGGCGCUUGAGAGAACUCGGGUGAAGGAACUAGGCAAAAUGGUGCCGUAACUUCGGGAGAAGGCACGCUGAUAUGUAGGUGAAGUCCCUCGCGGAUGGAGCUGAAAUCAGUCGAAGAUACCAGCUGGCUGCAACUGUUUAUUAAAAACACAGCACUGUGCAAACACGAAAGUGGACGUAUACGGUGUGACGCCUGCCCGGUGCCGGAAGGUUAAUUGAUGGGGUUAGCGCAAGCGAAGCUCUUGAUCGAAGCCCCGGUAAACGGCGGCCGUAACUAUAACGGUCCUAAGGUAGCGAAAUUCCUUGUCGGGUAAGUUCCGACCUGCACGAAUGGCGUAAUGAUGGCCAGGCUGUCUCCACCCGAGACUCAGUGAAAUUGAACUCGCUGUGAAGAUGCAGUGUACCCGCGGCAAGACGGAAAGACCCCGUGAACCUUUACUAUAGCUUGACACUGAACAUUGAGCCUUGAUGUGUAGGAUAGGUGGGAGGCUUUGAAGUGUGGACGCCAGUCUGCAUGGAGCCGACCUUGAAAUACCACCCUUUAAUGUUUGAUGUUCUAACGUUGACCCGUGAUCCGGGUUGCGGACAGUGUCUGGUGGGUAGUUUGACUGGGGCGGUCUCCUCCUAAAGAGUAACGGAGGAGCACGAAGGUUGGCUAAUCCUGGUCGGACAUCAGGAGGUUAGUGCAAUGGCAUAAGCCAGCUUGACUGCGAGCGUGACGGCGCGAGCAGGUGCGAAAGCAGGUCAUAGUGAUCCGGUGGUUCUGAAUGGAAGGGCCAUCGCUCAACGGAUAAAAGGUACUCCGGGGAUAACAGGCUGAUACCGCCCAAGAGUUCAUAUCGACGGCGGUGUUUGGCACCUCGAUGUCGGCUCAUCACAUCCUGGGGCUGAAGUAGGUCCCAAGGGUAUGGCUGUUCGCCAUUUAAAGUGGUACGCGAGCUGGGUUUAGAACGUCGUGAGACAGUUCGGUCCCUAUCUGCCGUGGGCGCUGGAGAACUGAGGGGGGCUGCUCCUAGUACGAGAGGACCGGAGUGGACGCAUCACUGGUGUUCGGGUUGUCAUGCCAAUGGCACUGCCCGGUAGCUAAAUGCGGAAGAGAUAAGUGCUGAAAGCAUCUAAGCACGAAACUUGCCCCGAGAUGAGUUCUCCCUGACUCCUUGAGAGUCCUGAAGGAACGUUGAAGACGACGACGUUGAUAGGCCGGGUGUGUAAGCGCAGCGAUGCGUUGAGCUAACCGGUACUAAUGAACCGUGAGGCUUAACCUU